GCAAACUUGGUCAUUUAGAGGAAGUAAAAGUCGUAACAAGGUUUCCGUAGGUGAACCUGCGGAAGGAUCAUUACAAAUUAUGGUGAACCUCGUGAGAGCGAGGUUUUCGCAUCCAUUAUUUUCGUAUUUAAAACAUCCACUCUUAAAAGAUUUAAUGAUAAAAUUAAAAAAAAAAAGAUCACUUUCAACAACGGAUCUCUUGGCUCUCGCAUCGAUGAAGAACGCAGC
Molecule: unclassified non-coding RNA, 228 nt
Filed under: uncultured fungus
Lineage: Eukaryota; Fungi
Description: partial contains small subunit ribosomal RNA, internal transcribed spacer 1, and 5.8S ribosomal RNA
Rfam family: Eukaryotic small subunit ribosomal RNA (bases 1-73)
Source: RNAcentral